This is a non-coding RNA of Oryza sativa Japonica Group (Japanese rice), 655 nucleotides long. NCBI's taxonomy places the organism in Eukaryota, Viridiplantae, Streptophyta, Magnoliopsida, Poales, Poaceae. The record is from RefSeq and is a predicted model, not a curated record.
UUCUUAAGUUUCUUGGUGUCGGCACUAUUCCUCAUUGUUGUGUUAUGGUAAGGUGGACAAUGGAUGUGAAAGCGGCAUUUGAGUCAGAUAGAAGUACCAACACUCAUGUGUGGUCUGAGCAGAUGGAUUGUUACCGUGACCUGAGAAACAUGAGUAGUCUUGCUUUAUUUAUAGCCUCUAAAUCAUCUUAGAAGGCAGAAAAGGUAAGAAAUUUCUUUCGGAGUAUUAUGGAGGAAGACUCGGUGAACCCCAAUAAAGAGUGGCCGUUUGGUCCUUUGCCAGCGCACUAUUCAGCAUGUAACCAACCCCACAGGACGAGAGUCCUUGAUCCUGAGGUGAUUACUUCUAAAGGUGCCCCGUCAAAGAAGAGAUUGAGGCCAAUCAGUGAUUCUUGGAAUAGAAGAAACCAUUGAAUACACUGUAAGCGAACUGUGUGUGGCUUGUGAUUGUCCUGAUGAUGCUUUUGAAGGGGAAGACUGGAAACGAUGGUUGACACUGCUGCCACUACAUGAACUGCAUGCCAACAUCCAGAUGGAAGUGCAGUAUUUAGAUGCUUCAGAAUUUCGAUAGCUCUUCUGGAAAUAACAAAUAUUGUUCGGGAACCAAAAAUUUAUGCUUUGUAAUUUGAGCUUUUGACAGAUGUUUAUUUCAGACA